Long non-coding RNA from Solanum tuberosum (potato), 2084 nucleotides. RefSeq lists it as uncharacterized. Lineage: Eukaryota; Viridiplantae; Streptophyta; Magnoliopsida; Solanales; Solanaceae. The record is from RefSeq and is a predicted model, not a curated record. The transcript is spliced from 2 exons.
GCGAAGAAGGUGACCCGAAUCGCGACAAUCCAUCUCCGUACAAUGACCGUUGUUGAACUUUCCAAUCUUGCAUCUCCUUCGUCCUUCACCAAGGAAUCGGACGACUCUCCUCUCUUUCCCGUUACAAUUCCAGCUUUCAAUCAUUUCAUCCCAAUUCAGUCCUCCUAUAUAAACCUCCUCUUUGCCUGGGAAAAAUAUAUAGACGUUGGAGAGGCAGAAAAUAUACAGAGAAGGAUAUAUAGAUUUAGAUAUCCAAAAGUUAGGAGCUGAAGCUUUCUGAGUCUGCUGGUUUGGAAAUCGAUUUCUAGAGUUCGUUGCAGGUUCGGAAUUUGUUUAAUAUGUUAAGCACUUUGAAUGCUCUUGCUUCUCCAGUUUGCUGCCUGCUUUGUUUUCUGCUAGUGUUAUCUGUAUUUUUUUUAAGAUAAGACUACUUCUCUCAAGUUUUCUUGAUGUUUGGAAGUUGGUGUAAUGCUUUCAUGUGUCGUUACUUUGCCUCGUUGAAAUUACUCUACUGGUUGUUCAAUUUAAGCAUCUGGUUGUUGAAAUUUGCUUUGAAGAAAUGCAUCUUGGGAAAUUUAAAACCUCCAUUUCAUCAUUUGGGGUCAUCUCGUAGUAUGAAAUUGUUAGCUCACUUUAUAUGUUGCUAGGAUUCAUUCAUUCAUUUAUUCUGGUUGGCUGAUUAUUUUGUCAUGAAUGCGUAAAGAGAUUCUUGUUAGAUUUUUGGUUAUCUCUCAACAUUUUUCAUGAUUUUUUUGUGGAAGUGGCAGAUUCGAGUUUGAAGUUUAUUGUUUGCUAGCCAUCUGUAUACUUUCUUCAAGAUUUUCUUAACAGAGUUCGAAAUAGUUGCUCUUGGUAAGUUUUCUUCCUUUCAAAAAAUUCCAGAAGUAAGUAUUCUAGGUCAGAUUUUUGAGCUUGUUUACAUAAUGGGGUGUUACAUGAUUUUUGAUUUAGAGUAUUUGUGAAUUGUGGCUGUAAUUUUAUUAGCCUCAUAUGUUACUCAUUUCAGGGAACAAAAUCUAGAUUAGAUAAUAUUUAUAUUGCUAUAGUUAAUUUUUUCUAUAUUUAGUUCAAUUUAGUCCAUCUUAAUGUUCUUUUUUCUUCUUCGUUGUUCUUUCUGUUUUAAGUUCAGUAUUUGGUUUACCAUCAAAUUAAGUGAAACUUGAACCUAUAUGUUAGAAAGUCAUUAUGACCUAAUCAUUGUCUUUUUUAUUGCUUUAUGACUUUCUUGGUAUCAUUUGCAACCUUGUUAGUUAGUAUUUUCAGUUGACAAUUAUACAACUUGCUAUGCAACUUUCAUUUUGUACUUCUAAUAGUGUGAAGAUGAGCUAUACCAAAAUAAAGUCCACAAAAGAGGAUGAAAAUCUAACAAAAAAAGUAACACAAUUUAGGAGGAGGGGAAGAGAACAUAAAAUUAAGUCUAGUGACUGCAAUAGACAACUAGUACCACAAGCAAUUAGCUUGAGCAUCUCUAGGGUCAGACACCCCAAAACUUGUCCUCGGAUACAUCUAUUGAAGUUUAUUCAAGUUGUCAUUUGAUGCCUGAUGUACAUUUUUUUAUUUUGCAGUAGUUUGCUUCAAGUAAUCAAUUGUUACAUGGAUGUCUCUAUUACUACUCUUUAGCUGCUCUUACUUAGAGAACAUAGUCUUAUCUCUUUGCUUUCUGGAAAAGAUAAGAAAAUCACCACCCACAAAGAUGAAAAGUCCUAUCUCUUUGCUUUCUGGAAAAGAUAAGAAAAACACCAGCCACAAAGAUGAAAAUAGCAAUAUAAACUGCAAUUUUGCAUAGCUUAGACCCUUGAAUCAACUUCAUUCGUUUGACAUAUGACCACUCCAUGCACAGAGCUUUCAUGACCUUCACUUGAUUGCACAACACAUUCUUUUGCACUUUGGUACAAUUGGAUAUGUUCCUUAGUCGAAAUGUUACCUUGUAGUUUCAAAAAAAAAAUCCCUCCAGACUUGUUAUGUAUAAGCAAGUUGUGACAUUUGAGUGCAUUUGUAGGUACCCUGACUAUGAAAAUUUUAAAUUCUCUCAUGAUUUGUAGAAAUGUAAUCUCUCGUGAUUUUUUUGUAGGCACAAUCACUAU